This 497-nucleotide ribosomal RNA is filed under the name uncultured bacterium. RNAcentral's name for it is "partial 16S ribosomal RNA". It matches the Rfam family "Bacterial small subunit ribosomal RNA", at positions 28 to 507 of the family's 1533-position model. The record is from RNAcentral.
GAUGAACGCUGGCGGCGUGCCUAAUACAUGCAAGUCGAGCGAACAGACGAGGAGCUUGCUCCUCUGACGUUAGCGGCGGACGGGUGAGUAACACGUGGAUAACCUACCUAUAAGACUGGGAUAACUUCGGGAAACCGGAGCUAAUACCGGAUAAUAUAUUGAACCGCAUGGUUCAAUAGUGAAAGACGGUUUUGCUGUCACUUAUAGAUGGAUCCGCGCCGCAUUAGCUAGUUGGUAAGGUAACGGCUUACCAAGGCGAUGAUGCGUAGCCGACCUGAGAGGGUGAUCGGCCACACUGGAACUGAGACACGGUCCAGACUCCUACGGGAGGCAGCAGUAGGGAAUCUUCCGCAAAGGGCGAAAGCCUGACGGAGCAACGCCGCGUGAGUGAUGAAGGUCUUCGGAUCGUAAAACUCUGUUAUUAGGGAAGAACAAAUGUGUAAGUAACUAUGCACGUCUUGACGGUACCUAAUCAGAAAGCCACGGCUAACUACGUG